UACGUAGGGGCCAAGCGUUGUCCGGAUUUAUUGGGCGUAAAGAGCUCGUAGGCGGUUCGGUAAGUCAGGUGUGAAAUCUCCACGCUCAACGUGGAGCGGUCAUCUGAUACUGCCGUGACUCGAGUCCGGUAGGGGAGUGUGGAAUUCCCGGUGUAGCGGUGAAAUGCGCAGAUAUCGGGAGGAACACCAGUGGCGAAGGCGGCACUCUGGGCCGGUACUGACGCUGAGGAGCGAAAGCAUGGGGAGCGAACAGG
RNAcentral lists this ribosomal RNA (254 nucleotides) under uncultured bacterium. Its description in RNAcentral is "partial 16S ribosomal RNA". It matches the Rfam family "Bacterial small subunit ribosomal RNA", at positions 524 to 776 of the family's 1533-position model. The record is from RNAcentral.